Rattus norvegicus (Norway rat) is the source of this 1786-nucleotide non-coding RNA. The record is from RefSeq and is a predicted model, not a curated record. NCBI's taxonomy places the organism in Eukaryota, Metazoa, Chordata, Mammalia, Rodentia, Muridae.
GAUGGGUUUUCCUUUCAGCAGAAAACUAAUAAUGGUAAAUAGUUGAGGGAAGCAGGAACGAAUCUCUGUCUCCAGGAUCUAUAUGGGAGACAUAAGGAGACCCAGGUGAAACAAGCUGUAAGGGUACAAGGUGGGAAGACCCCUUGAGGACAGCCAGAUUCACCUACAGCCAGCAAAGUCAAAGAGGAUGUUCAUUAGGGGGAGAACUAGGAACUCGAGCUUUCUGUUUCUCCUAUAGGAUCUGAUUAAAUAUCUAUUCCAGUGAAAGGGGAAAGCCCAAGGUCUAGAAGACUGCCAAUGUUUUCAGGCUGGUUUUAAAGUGUACCCUCAAAUAUCAGUGGGUCAAAGAAAACUUGUGGGAAGAAAACGAUGAAAUAGGAGCCCAAAUCAACAACCAUCAAUUUCUUAUCUUCAAGAGCCAAUCUUCCUGCACACGAACUUCCACAUGAAUUUAAUAUUGAAAUUGUAACACCUGCCCCUUUAUACGACCCCUUGCCAAGUGGACACUGUGAGGGGGGAAAAGGUAGAUUGGCAAUGAUCUUCGGUUAUUGUUGGGGGGAGGGUGGUAAUGGGGGGAGGAUGGGGAGGGGAACACCCAUAUCGAAGGGGAGGGGAAGGGGCUAGGGAGAUGUUGGCAGGAAACCGGGAAAGGGAAUAACAAUUGAUGUAAAUAAGAAAUACCCAAGUUAAUAAAGAUGGAGAAAAAAAAGAAAGAAAGAAAAAGGUUUGACAUGCAAACCCAAACAGAGGACUAUGAAUAUCUGGAAGAGUGAAAUCAAAGCUGGGCACCCCACGGUGAGUUGUGUUGGUUUUCCAAAGCUCCUAAGUAACUUGAGGUUUAUUUGCACUGCCAGACUUCAACUCUCCUGACUCUUUCUGCAUCACACCUUGGGUUGAUCCCUUGAUCACAGCUUUCUGGGACCCAGUAAACUCCCCAUGAUCACUUUAUAUGGAGAGUGUUGGAAUGUUUCCUUAUUAGUUUUCACACACAAAACCAGAGCAUAAAAAAAGAACGAAAGAACGAAAGAACGAAAGAACGAAAGAACGAAAGAACGAACGAACGAACGAACGAACGAAAGAAAGAAAGAAAGAAAGAAAGAAAGAAAGAAAGAAAGAAAGAAAGAAAGGAAGGAAGGAUAGAAAGAAAGGGAAAGAAAACCCUGGGAGAAAGCUGGAGAGGCAGGGCAUGGAUAGCCACUUUUCCAGUAUCCUACAGUGGUCACCUGACUCUACGCUCUACAACAUGAAUUGAAGCCAUCAUGAAUCUCUCACAAACCCUGGCCCCAUUCCUUCUUGUCUUUUUACCAGAGGUUGGUCCAGAACAAGUGUGGAUAUUUAACAUAAGUCAAGUCAAAAAGGUCUAACAGUUUUCUAGAAUGCAAAAAGGCCAAGACUGAGGAAUGGGAACCGACGGUGCUCCAUACCUGUCAACCCAGGCAUCCCAUAAUGGAGACAAGAGGAUCCAGACUAUGAGGCCAUCCCAUGCUACACAGGGAGACACUAACUCCAAACUAAACAGCAAACUGAGACACAGGAAGGAGGCUCGCACGGUGUUGUAAUGGCUUAGCAGGUACUUAGGCCUCUGAGAGGGUUUGUGAGAAAUUGAAUUGAAUAACCUUUUGUCUUCCUAUUCUGAAUAAUAAUCCCCUUCCUUACAGUUAAGUCAACUUGAGUUGGAAAUUCUGGUAUUUGCUGAUGGGUGCACAGUAUAUUUUCUAACAUUAAACACCUUUCAUCUUCUGAUCAAAUAGAGAAGAGAAUGAAUAAAAUAAAAAUUUUCAUAGAA